This 868-nucleotide ribosomal RNA is filed under the name uncultured Peptococcaceae bacterium. RNAcentral describes it as "bacterial SSU rRNA". It matches the Rfam family "Bacterial small subunit ribosomal RNA", at positions 297 to 1173 of the family's 1533-position model. The record is from RNAcentral. Lineage: Bacteria; Bacillati; Bacillota; Clostridia; Eubacteriales; Peptococcaceae.
AGGGUGAACGGCCACACUGGAACUGAGACACGGUCCAGACUCCUACGGGAGGCAGCAGUGGGGAAUCUUCCGCAAUGGGCGAAAGCCUGACGGAGCAACGCCGCGUGAAUGAAGAAGGCCUUCGGGUUGUAAAAUUCUGUCUUCAGGGAGGAAAAAAAUGACGGUACCUGAGGAGGAAGCCCCGGCUAACUACGUGCCAGCAGCCGCGGUAAUACGUAGGGGGCAAGCGUUGUCCGGAAUUACUGGGCGUAAAGGGCGCGUAGGCGGCUUCUUAAGUCAAUAGGUGAAAACUGUGGGCUCAACCCAUAGCGUGCCUUUGAAACUGGGAGGCUUGAGGACAGGAGAGGGGAGUGGAAUUCCCAGUGUAGCGGUGAGAUGCGUAGAUAUUGGGAGGAACACCAGUGGCGAAGGCGGCUCUCUGGCCUGUAACUGACGCUGAGGCGCGAAAGCGUGGGGAGCAAACGGGAUUAGAUACCCCGGUAGUCCACGCCGUAAACGAUGGGUGCUAGGUGUAGGAGGUAUCGACCCCUUCUGUGCCGUAGUUAACACAAUAAGCACCCCGCCUGGGGAGUACGGCCGCAAGGUUGAAACUCAAAGGAAUUGACGGGGGCCCGCACAAGCGGUGGAGCAUGUGGUUUAAUUCGACGCAACGCGAAGAACCUUACCAGGGUUUGACAUCCCCUGACAGCUGAGGAAACUCAGUGUUCCAGCUUCGGUUGGACAGGGAGACAGGUGGUGCAUGGUUGUCGUCAGCUCGUGUCGUGAGAUGUUGGGUUAAGUCCCGCAACCAGCGCAACCCCUACGUUUAGUUGCUAACAGGUGAAGCUGAGCACUCUAAAAGAACUGCCGUUGACAAAACGGAGGAAGG